RNAcentral lists this transfer RNA (57 nucleotides) under Biomphalaria glabrata. It matches the Rfam family "tRNA", at positions 8 to 63 of the family's 71-position model. From Rfam's summary of the family: Transfer RNA (tRNA) molecules are approximately 80 nucleotides in length. Their secondary structure includes four short double-helical elements and three loops (D, anti-codon, and T loops). The record is from Rfam by way of RNAcentral. Lineage: Eukaryota; Metazoa; Mollusca; Gastropoda; Planorbidae.
UGGCUGAGUGGUAAAGUGCUUGGCUUUUGAACAGGAGGUGCCAGGUUCAAAUCCUGG